This 536-nucleotide ribosomal RNA is filed under the name Gasterophilus haemorrhoidalis. RNAcentral's name for it is "partial 16S ribosomal RNA". It matches the Rfam family "Bacterial large subunit ribosomal RNA", at positions 1797 to 2605 of the family's 2925-position model. The record is from RNAcentral. Lineage: Eukaryota; Metazoa; Arthropoda; Insecta; Diptera; Oestridae.
CGCCUGUUUUAACAAAAACAUGUCCUUUUGGGUGAAUAUGAGGUCUGACCUGCCCACUGAUAUUUGAAUGGCCGCAGUAUUUUAACUGUGCAAAGGUAGCAUAAUCAUUAGUCUUUUAAUUGAAGGCUGGUAUGAAUGGUUGGACGAGAUACUAUCUGUUUCACGUAGAGUUAGAUUAGAAUUUUAUUUUUCAGUAAAAAAGCUGAAAUGGUUUUUAAAGACGAGAAGACCCUAUAAAUCUUUAUAGUUGAUUUGUUAUAAUUUUUUAGAUGGGUUGUAUUAUGACAGUUGAUACUAUUUUAUUGGGGUGAUAUUAAAAUUUAAUUAACUUUUAGUUUUUGGUGACAUUAAUUAAUGAUUGAUUGAUCCGUUAAUGACGAUUGGAAAAUUAAGUUACUUUAGGGAUAACAGCGUAAUUUUUUUGGAGAGUUCUUAUCGAUAAAAGUGAUUGCGACCUCGAUGUUGGAUUAAGAGAUAGAUUUGGGUGUAGCAGCUUGAAUUCUAAGUCUGUUCGACUUUUAAUUUCUUACAUGACC